UUCAGGCCUCAGCUCUCAGCACCAUCCUUGUGGUUUCAUUUAAUCUGCAAUUAAAGUGGAUCCCAGGAGGCAGCGGGAACUGAUCUGCAGCAUCCGAGGCACAGUCACCAAAAGCAGACACUGCAUCCUUCACUCAUGCAUCCACUACAUGGCUUUUAUAUCCAUCUCGACCUCUGCUCUCAAUUACUUCUGUAUGUCUGUGAGGAGUGUGGGGCUCUCUUGAUAGGCUUCUGCCUUCCCUCCCCUUCCAUCUCUUCUGCCUACCUUCUCUUCUCUGCAGCAGGGCUCAGGUAAUGGGAUUGAGAUCCCCAGACACAAGCCUGGGGGAGGUGAGACUAGUAAAAGGAGGAUGCCAGGGACAACAGAGGCCCAGCUAAGGUUGGCCAGGGACUAGUAUAGACUAUUCUGGGGCCACAGAAGGGGGCUUUUCCCCAGUGAAGUGUCUGGAACGCAAGCUGGAAAGAAACUGGAUCCGCUGAGGGGGGUAGGAGGAGGGUGAGUGAUUAAUGAGGGAGAUUGAGAGAUUAAACUUUGGUUCUGGGUUUGAGGGGGUACUCCACUGUCUCAAAGACUUCCCCAACCCCAGCUGCAAAGCACUGAAGCUCCCUGCUUCUGAGUCAUUUCACUGGUCUUCCGGCCAUACCUCCCACUACAGUGUGAAAUCUUCCUGCCAUAAGUCCUUCCCGGGAGAGUCACCAACUGUGUCUUCACUGAAGCAUGGCAGGGUCCCAGAGUUUUGCUUCCCCAGACAUUCUCAAUCUCUCACAUCCUCAGAUUCCCCUCAUUGUCGCUUGCUUCAGACAUGUCAGGGUCUUGUACUCCCUCCCCUUGUAGAGAUCCUCACAUUCUGACCUUUACUCCUUUGAGAAGGCAGCUUAUUACCAUUUAAGAACACUUUUCAAACACCUCUCUUCAUCCAUUUUCAGAUUUCCCAUUCUCGGUUCCCAGCACAACCCCCGGUCCCACUCCCGAAACCUUCACCUCUCACCCAAAGAUUCCUCCACCAAGGCGGGUCCAAGAUCGCUACCCUCCCCCGCUUUAUUGAGGUCUGUUCAAUAAAGGACCAUUAGUCUCAGGAUUGCCCGCUCUGCACAUCUGUCUGAAUUGAGUGUAUAGCGGGUUUGAGAACACCCAGAAUAACCUCCCCGGGGCUGUGGACAGGAAGAACACUCUUAGAAAUGUGCUUGCCCUCCUCCUCUCUAUGUUUAGGGAAAAAUAUUGAAUCGGAGUGAGAGGACAG
This 1240-nucleotide long non-coding RNA is filed under the name Marmota monax (woodchuck). Lineage: Eukaryota; Metazoa; Chordata; Mammalia; Rodentia; Sciuridae. The record is from RNAcentral.